RNAcentral lists this ribosomal RNA (380 nucleotides) under uncultured bacterium. Its description in RNAcentral is "bacterial SSU rRNA". It matches the Rfam family "Bacterial small subunit ribosomal RNA", at positions 355 to 752 of the family's 1533-position model. The record is from RNAcentral.
UGGGGAAUCUUGCACAAUGGGGGCAACCCUGAUGCAGCGACGCCGCGUGAGCGAUGAAGCCCUUCGGGGCGUAAAGCUCUUUCGACCGGAACGAUAAUGACGGUACCGGGAGAAGAAGCUGCGGCUAACUACGUGCCAGCAGCCGAGGUAAUACGUAGGGGGCAAGCGUUUUCCGGAUUUACUGGGUGUAAAGGGCGCGCAGGCGGGAUAAAAAGUCAGUGGUGAAAUCCUACAGCUUAACUGUAGAACUGCCUUUGAUACUUUUAUUCUUGAGUUCGGGAGAGAGAGACGGAAUUCCAGGUGUAGUGGUGAAAUACGUAGAUAUCUGGAAGAACACCAGUUGCGAAGGCGGUCUCUUGGUCCGACACUGACGCUGAGGC